Molecule: ribosomal RNA, 460 nt
Filed under: Salmonella enterica
Lineage: Bacteria; Pseudomonadati; Pseudomonadota; Gammaproteobacteria; Enterobacterales; Enterobacteriaceae
Also listed under: 3 other names
Description: partial 23S ribosomal RNA
Rfam family: Bacterial large subunit ribosomal RNA
Source: RNAcentral
GCUAAUCUGCGAUAAGCGCCGGUAAGGUGAUAUGAACCGUUAUAACCGGCGAUACCCGAAUGGGGAAACCCAGUGUGACUCGUCACACUAUCAUUAACUGAAUCCAUAGGUUAAUGAGGCGAACCGGGGGAACUGAAACAUCUAAGUACCCCGAGGAAAAGAAAUCAACCGAGAUUCCCCCAGUAGCGGCGAGCGAACGGGGAGGAGCCCAGAGCCUGAAUCAGCAUGUGUGUUAGUGGAAGCGUCUGGAAAGGCGCGCGAUACAGGGUGACAGCCCCGUACACAAAAGCGCAUGUGCUGUGAGCUCGAUGAGUAGGGCGGGACACGUGGUAUCCUGUCUGAAUAUGGGGGGACCAUCCUCCAAGGCUAAAUACUCCUGACUGACCGAUAGUGAACCAGUACCGUGAGGGAAAGGCGAAAAGAACCCCGGCGAGGGGAGUGAAAAAGAACCUGAAACCGU